CGGUGUUCAACUGGCGUGUCCGCGGGACGUCCUGCCGGUGGGCUUAGCCCGCAAGGGCGGCCCAACUUCAAAUCCCAUCGCGGUGCUCUUCACUGAGUGUCGAGGUGGGCCGGCACGUUUACUUUGAACAAAUUAGAGUGCUUAAAGCAGGCUAAAACUUCGCCUGAAUACUGUGUGCAUGGAAUAAUGGAAUAGGACCUCGGUUCUAUUUUGUUGGUUUUCGGAACCCCGAGGUAAUGAUUAAUAGGAACGGAUGGGGGCAUUCGUAUUGCGACGUUAGAGGUGAAAUUCUUGGAUCGUCGCAAGACGGACAGAAGCGAAAGCAUUUGCCAAAAACGCUUUCAUUGAUCAAGAACGAAAGUUAGAGGUUCGAAGGCGAUCAGAUACCGCCCUAGUUCUAACCAUAAACGAUGCCAGCUAGCGAUCCGUCGACGUUCCUCCGAUGACUCGACGGGCAGCUUCCGGGAAACCAAAGCUUUUGGGUUCCGGGGGAAGUAUGGUUGCAAAGCUGAAACUUAAAGGAAUUGACGGAAGGGCACCACCAGGAGUGGAGCCUGCGGCUUAAUUUGACUCAACACGGGAAACCUCACCAGGCCCGGACACCGGAAGGAUUGACAGAUUGAGAGCUCUUUCUUGAUUCGGUGGGUGGUGGUGCAUGGCCGUUCUUAGUUGGUGGAGCGAUUUGUCUGGUUAAUUCCGAUAACGAACGAGACUCUAGCCUGCUAACUAGGCGUAUUUUCGACAUCUCAAAGGUCCGUCGUCCCGGCCCUCGGGUCGUGGGCGUGCGCGAUUUUUACUGUCGGCGUACUAUCAAUUCUUCUUAGAGGGACAGGUGGCCUUCUAGCCGCACGAGAUUGAGCAAUAACAGGUCUGUGAUG
RNAcentral lists this ribosomal RNA (878 nucleotides) under uncultured eukaryote. RNAcentral's name for it is "SSU rRNA". It matches the Rfam family "Eukaryotic small subunit ribosomal RNA", at positions 636 to 1469 of the family's 1831-position model. The record is from RNAcentral.